UACGUAGGUGGCAAGCGUUAUCCGGAUUUAUUGGGCGUAAAGGGAACGCAGGCGGUCUUUUAAGUCUGAUGUGAAAGCCUUCGGCUUAACCGGAGUAGUGCAUUGGAAACUGGGAGACUUGAGUGCAGAAGAGGAGAGUGGAACUCCAUGUGUAGCGGUAAAAUGCGUAGAUAUAUGGAGGAACACCGGUGGCGAAAGCGGCCCUCUGGCCUGUAACUGACACUGAGGCUCGAAAGCGUGGGGAGCAAACAGG
This 253-nucleotide ribosomal RNA is filed under the name uncultured bacterium. RNAcentral's name for it is "partial 16S ribosomal RNA". It matches the Rfam family "Bacterial small subunit ribosomal RNA", at positions 524 to 776 of the family's 1533-position model. The record is from RNAcentral.